ACCUCCCUCUGGCCAAUUAGCGUCCGGAACCCGCCGGACCUCAAGCCAAUAGGCACUCUGCUCAUGAAGCCCCGCCCCCUGGUCCCAAAACGGGUGGGGAGCUCCAGGAAGCGCUGAAAGAGCUGAUUUGCGGUGACGGGCAAACUCUGGGGCGGGACUUCCGGGGAAGUCUGAGACAGCGGUGUCGGGAGGUGUAGUGGGAAGGAAAGGACACGUCAGCAUCUGGCCGAGGGGCGCGGGGAGCCAUGGGAGCACCGAAGGCGGGGCCGGCCUCGCCCUCCUGCCUGGCCCCGCCCCUGCCCCGCCCCCUCGGGCGGCCGAGUGCCCACGUGGAAGAGUUGCACGCCGGAACUGAAGAACCCGGCCUUCGGUCCUAGAGCCCGGGAGGCCGAGUCCCGAAGGAAUCUCAGAGCCGACUACUCUCGGAGUUCCGACGUUUCACCUCUGCAGAGUAGAGGGAACUUUGGAAAGUCGCAGUCCCUGGGCAACCUGCUGAUGUCAAAUCUUGACCCGGAAAACGGCCGCGGAUCUUUACCGCUGGGGUCUAAUGCUUGUGAGUUCCACUAAUGUUCGUUGGUGAGAAGGGAUGGCGCGUCCUGUUCACUGUGAAAGACCUCGAUUUCCGACUCCUUCCCUACUGCUCCAGCUGAGCUUAGGAAAAGAAAAGCCUUGGGAUGUGCCACCCCAGAGCUGGGCAGGCAACCCCUGACCUCACUCCUACCUAACUUGAGCUGUUUAGUGAACAGCACCUCAAAAUGGUUCAGCAGCUGAAGGUGUCUGCAUGCAAGCGUGACAGCCUGAGUUCAGUCACUAGGAUCUACAUGGUGGAAUGAGAAAAGAACUCUUACAAGUUGUGCUCUGACUCCUCAUGCAAACUGUGACAUGCGUGUGUGUGCACACACAAACACAUACAUAAAUAAAUUUAAAUUUUUUUAGUGA
Molecule: long non-coding RNA, 939 nt
Organism: Mesocricetus auratus (golden hamster)
Lineage: Eukaryota; Metazoa; Chordata; Mammalia; Rodentia; Cricetidae
Exons: 2
Source: RefSeq, a predicted model, not a curated record